GAUGAACGCUGGCGGCGUGCCUAAUACAUGCAAGUCGAGCGAACAGACGAGGAGCUUGCUCCUCUGACGUUAGCGGCGGACGGGUGAGUAACACGUGGAUAACCUACCUAUAAGACUGGGAUAACUUCGGGAAACCGGAGCUAAUACCGGAUAAUAUAUUGAACCGCAUGGUUCAAUAGUGAAAUACGGUUUUGCUGGCACUUAUAGAUGGAUCCGCGCCGCAUUAGCUAGUUGGUAAGGUAACGGCUUACCAAGGCAACGAUGCGUAGCCGACCUGAGAGGGUGAUCGGCCACCCGGGAACUGAGCCACGGUCCAGACUCCUAAGGGAGGCAGCAGUAGGGAAUCUUCCGCAAUGGGCGAAAGCCUGACGGAGCAACGCCGCGUGAGUGAUGAAGGUCUUCGGAUCGUAAAACUCUGUUAUUAGGGAAGAACAAAUGUGUAAGUAACUAUGCACGUCUUGACGGUACCUAAUCAGAAAGCAACGGCUAACUACGUG
Molecule: ribosomal RNA, 497 nt
Filed under: uncultured bacterium
Lineage: Bacteria
Description: partial 16S ribosomal RNA
Rfam family: Bacterial small subunit ribosomal RNA
Source: RNAcentral